Molecule: long non-coding RNA, 555 nt
Filed under: Elaeis guineensis (African oil palm)
Lineage: Eukaryota; Viridiplantae; Streptophyta; Magnoliopsida; Arecales; Arecaceae
Description: long non-coding RNA (EGUI_LNC026275)
Source: RNAcentral
AUCUCUCAUCAACUUCUAACUCACUUGAAAUAAUGAAGGUGAUGUGGUGACCAGAGACCAACCUUGAGGGUUGAAGGCAUCUUGCAGCUAUAGUGAUGAACUUUUGGUAUUCGUGCCUCAUCUCUAAGUGAUAUCUGGAUGCUCAAUAUAUAUACGUACACAUGGCAUAAAAGUUUGUCAACCAAAUAUUCAGCUGAAAUGAUGUGUUUGGAUGCCUAAUUAUGAUGUUUGGAUCUCGGUCUCUCCACCUACAUCCAUACACAGAUCACCCAAAUAGCAUUUGAUGCCUGUGUCAUCUGGUUCCUCCUGCCUUAGCCUUACCCGGUAGGAUAGCUAUAUAUUUAUUCACCUUAACAAUGAAUAUAAUUCCUACUCCCUAGUCCUGAAAAAAAUGAUGGGAUGUAUGACUUUUUCUAGGGAGGAUGCAACAAGCUUCUGGGCUGAAUCUUCUACUCUCCACCUGUUUAAUUACUUGAUCAAAUUGAAACCUGUGGUGGCUUGUCACCUUUUGGAUCAUACAAGCACACGCAUGCACAUAAGCGCACACAGAUAUUG